RNAcentral lists this unclassified non-coding RNA (240 nucleotides) under soil metagenome. RNAcentral's name for it is "partial contains 5.8S ribosomal RNA, internal transcribed spacer 2, and large subunit ribosomal RNA". The record is from RNAcentral.
AACGCACGAGACCUGCGGACCUGCGGAAGGAUCAUCAUUGCUAACAACGUCCCAAGCUUUCUGGGGGGGAAGGGAGGAGAAGGAGAGAAAUUUUCUUUUUCUUUCUUUUUUUCCUGGCUUGGGCUUUACAAACAACUUUGAUACCCAAAAAGAGUCCUCUAUCUCUUUGGUUUUCAGCUUGUUUUAUAUGAGUUGAUGGGAUGGCUGAAGGGAGAAAAGGAAAGAAACAUAUGUGGUUGC